Molecule: long non-coding RNA, 838 nt
Filed under: Gossypium barbadense (sea-island cotton)
Lineage: Eukaryota; Viridiplantae; Streptophyta; Magnoliopsida; Malvales; Malvaceae
Description: long non-coding RNA (GBAR_LNC021776)
Source: RNAcentral
CCCGUCUUGUUAUUCAUCACUGAAGCAUCCAUAUUAAUAUUAACAAAGCUAUUCAGAGGUUUCUCCCACUUAUAAGCUCUAGGAACCUGAAGAAGAAUCGGCUCAAAAGACAAAUUAUGGAUGCGAAAAUCGUCACUGAGCUUCCGCGCCUUAUCCCACACCAAUCCAGCUUCUUCCUCCACACCUCUAAACACGACAUUAUUCUAACUAUUCCAAAUAUUCCAAAGAGUUGUAAUAAAGUUUUCAAGGCCAGAGAGUUAUAUUCCAAGAAAUGCAAUAUAAAGGGUCAAGAUAGAUCAAUGAUAGGAACAUACAUUUAUGAUAUCCAACAACAAAUAUACGGGCUUGAUAAGAUAAGAUUCCAACAUGCACCAAGAUCGGCAAAUAGUCUAGCACAUAUUCUAGCAACAGAAACGCUAAGGAGAGGAGAAGAAAUAUACCUGGAUAGGGGUGUUCCGGAAUACGCUAGGUGCAAGGCCGAUAUGAGAUGAGAAAGGAACCAGACUAGGAAGUUUUCAGGGGAGGAAGGUUGAAGGUUUGGUAAGCCUUAGAAUAGGAAUGAAUCGGCAUACAUUGAAAAUGGAAUCGUCGAAAUGAAUAGACAUGACAGAAAGAUCAGAGGACAGAUUUCAAAUAGUUUCUGAUUGGGUAAUGGAUCGGUGCACUUAUUGCCGGUUCUAGAAUCAUCUUUUUUAAUAUUUCAAUUUUAUUUAAGGCCAUAUGUUUUUGGGCCGUGUUUUUAGGCUUUGACGUUAGUUUAUUUUGCCAUAGGCUGGUUUUGUUAAGUUUUUGGUUUUUUGUUUUGAACAGUAUUUAUUUAUUUUUAAUAAAAGCCCAA